RNAcentral lists this ribosomal RNA (466 nucleotides) under uncultured bacterium. Its description in RNAcentral is "partial 16S ribosomal RNA". It matches the Rfam family "Bacterial small subunit ribosomal RNA", at positions 28 to 507 of the family's 1533-position model. The record is from RNAcentral.
GAUGAACGCUGGCGGCGUGCUUAACACAUGCAAGUCGAACGAUGAAGCCCAGCUUGCUGGGUGGAUUAGUGGCGAACGGGUGAGUAACACGUGAGUAAUCUGCCCUUAACUCUGGGAUAAGCCUGGGAAACUGGGUCUAAUACCGGAUAGGAGCGUCCACCGCAUGGUGGGUGUUGGAAAGAUUUAUCGGUUUUGGAUGGACUCGCGGCCUAUCAGCUUGUUGGUGAGGUAAUGGCUCACCAAGGCGACGACGGGUAGCCGGCCUGAGAGGGUGACCGGCCACACUGGGACUGAGACACGGCCCAGACUCCUACGGGAGGCAGCAGUGGGGAAUAUUGCACAAUGGGCGAAAGCCUGAUGCAGCGACGCCGCGUGAGGGAUGACGGCCUUCGGGUUGUAAACCUCUUUCAGUAGGGAAGAAGCGAAAGUGACGGUACCUGCAGAAGAAGCACCGGCUAACUACGUG